GACGAACGCUGGCGGCGUGCUUAACACAUGCAAGUCGAGCGGUAAGGCCUCUUCGGGGGUACACGAGCGGCGAACGGGUGAGUAACACGUGGGUGACCUGCCCUCAGCUCUGGGAUAAGCCUGGGAAACUGGGUCUAAUACCGGAUAUGACCUUUCCUCGCAUGGGGUUUGGUGGAAAGUUUUUUCGGCUGGGGAUGGGCCCGCGGCCUAUCAGCUUGUUGGUGGGGUGAUGGCCUACCAAGGCGACGACGGGUAGCCGGGCUGAGAGGGCGACCGGCCACACUGGGACUGAGACACGGCCCAGACUUCUACGGGAGGCAGCAGUGGGGAAUAUUGCGCAAUGCGCGGAAGCCUGGCGCAGCGACGCCGCGUGGGGGAUGUCGGCCUUCGGGUUGUAAACCUCUUUCGACCCCGCCGAAUUUGGACGGUAGGGGUAGAAGAAGCACCGGCCAACUACGUG
This 460-nucleotide ribosomal RNA is filed under the name uncultured bacterium. Its description in RNAcentral is "partial 16S ribosomal RNA". It matches the Rfam family "Bacterial small subunit ribosomal RNA", at positions 28 to 507 of the family's 1533-position model. The record is from RNAcentral.